Molecule: ribosomal RNA, 498 nt
Filed under: uncultured bacterium
Lineage: Bacteria
Description: partial 16S ribosomal RNA
Rfam family: Bacterial small subunit ribosomal RNA
Source: RNAcentral
AUUGAGCGCUGGCGGCAUGCCUUACACAUGCAAGUCGAACGGUAACAGGUCUUCGGAUGCUGACGAGUGGCGAACGGGUGAGUAAUACAUCGGAACGUGCCCGAUCGUGGGGGAUAACGAAGCGAAAGCUUUGCUAAUACCGCAUAAGAUCUACGGAUGAAAGCAGGGGACCGCAAGGCCUUGCGCGAACGGAGCGGCCGAUGGCAGAUUAGGUAGUUGGUGGGAUAAAAGCUUACCAAGCCGACGAUCUGUAGCUGGUCUGAGAGGACGACCAGCCACACGGGGACUGAGACACGGCCCAGACUCCUACGGGAGGCAGCAGUGGGGAAUUUUGGACAAUGGGCGAAAGCCUGAUCCAGCCAUGCCGCGUGCAGGAUGAAGGCCUUCGGGUUGUAAACUGCUUUUGUACGGAACGAAAAGGCUCUUUCUAAUAAAGAGGGUCCAUGACGGUACCGUAAGAAUAAGCACCGGCUAACUACGUGCCAGCCGCCGCAGUAA